This 532-nucleotide ribosomal RNA is filed under the name uncultured bacterium. Its description in RNAcentral is "bacterial SSU rRNA". It matches the Rfam family "Bacterial small subunit ribosomal RNA", at positions 365 to 917 of the family's 1533-position model. The record is from RNAcentral.
UGGAANUGGGCGAAGCCUGAUCCAGCCAUGCCGCGUGAGUGAUGAAGGCCUUCGGGUUGUAAAACUCUUUCGACGGGGACGAUAAUGACGGUACCCGUAGAAGAAGCUCCGGCUAACUUCGUGCCAGCAGCCGCGGUAAUACGAAGGGGGCUAGCGUUGUUCGGAAUUACUGGGCGUAAAGCGCGCGCAGGCGGUUCUCCAAGUCAGUGGUGAAAGCCCGGAGCUCAACUCCGGAACUGCCAUUGAAACUGUUGAACUUGAGGACGAGAGAGGUGAGUGGAAUUCCCAGUGUAGAGGUGAAAUUCGUAGAUAUUGGGAAGAACACCAGUGGCGAAGGCGGCUCACUGGCUCGUAUCUGACGCUCAGGCGCGAUAGCGUGGGGAUCAAACAGGAUUAGAUACCCUGGUAGUCCACGCCGUAAACGAUGAAUGCUAGCCGUUGGGCAGCUUGCUGUUCAGUGGCGCAGCUAACGCAUUAAGCAUUCCGCCUGGGGAGUACGGCCGCAAGGUUGAAACUCAAAAAAAUUGACGGA